GUGGGGAAUUUUGGACAAUGGGCGCAAGCCUGAUCCAGCAAUGCCGCGUGCAGGAAGAAGGCCUUCGGGUUGUAAACUGCUUUUGUACGGAACGAAAAGGCUCUGGUUAAUACCUGGGGCUCAUGAUGGUACCGUAAGAAUAAGCACCGGCUAACUACGUGCCAGCAGCCGCGGUAAUACGUAGGGUGCAAGCGUUAAUCGGAAUUACUGGGCGUAAAGCGUGCGCAGGCGGUUUUGUAAGACAGACGUGAAAUCCCCGGGCUCAACCUGGGAAUGGCGUUUGUGACUGCAAAGCUGGAGUGCGGCAGAGGGGGAUGGAAUUCCGCGUGUAGCAGUGAAAUGCGUAGAUAUGCGGAGGAACACCGAUGGCGAAGGCAAUCCCCUGGGCCUGCACUGACGCUCAUGCACGAAAGCGUGGGGAGCAAACAGGAUUAGAAACCCGAGUAGUCC
RNAcentral lists this ribosomal RNA (450 nucleotides) under uncultured bacterium. RNAcentral describes it as "partial 16S ribosomal RNA". It matches the Rfam family "Bacterial small subunit ribosomal RNA", at positions 354 to 796 of the family's 1533-position model. The record is from RNAcentral.